This 414-nucleotide ribosomal RNA is filed under the name uncultured bacterium. Its description in RNAcentral is "bacterial SSU rRNA". It matches the Rfam family "Bacterial small subunit ribosomal RNA", at positions 355 to 786 of the family's 1533-position model. The record is from RNAcentral.
UGGGGAAUAUUGCACAAUGGGGGAAACCCUGAUGCAGCGACGCCGCGUGAGUGAAGAAGUAUUUCGGUAUGUAAAGCUCUAUCAGCAGGGAAGAUGAUGACGGUACCUGAGUAAGAAGCCCCGGCUAACUACGUGCCAGCAGCCGCGGUAAUACGUAGGGGGCAAGCGUUAUCCGGAUUUACUGGGUGUAAAGGGAGCGUAGACGGCAUGGCAAGUCUGAAGUGAAAGCCCGGGGCUCAACCGCGGGACUGCUUUGGAAACUGUUAAGCUGGAGUGCAGGAGAGGUAAGUGGAAUUCCUAGUGUAGCGGUGAAAUGCGUAGAUAUUAGGAGGAACACCAGUGGCGAAGGCGGCUUACUGGACUGUAACUGACGUUGAGGCUCGAAAGCGUGGGGAGCAAACAGGAUUAGAUACC